GUACACGCUGUGACUAGCAUAUCAAUAAGCGGAGGAAAAGAAACUAACAAGGAUUCCCCUAGUAACGGCGAGUGAAGCGGGAAGAGCUCAAAUUUGAAAUCUUAAAGGGUUUCCCUUUACGAAUUGUAGUUUAAAGAAGUGUUUUCUGUUGAGGUUUUGGUAAAAGUUCUUUGGAAUAGGACAUCAUAGAGGGUGAGAAUCCCGUAUUUGACCUUUACUUUCAACUUUGUGAUACACUUUCAAAGAGUCGGAUUGUUUGGGAAUGCAGUCCAAAAUGGGUGGUAAAUUUCAUCUAAAGCUAAAUAUUGGCGAGAGACCGAUAGCGAACAAGUACCGUGAGGGAAAGAUGAAAAGAACUUUGAAAAGAGAGUUAAACAGUACGUGAAAUUGUCAAAAGGGAAGCGUUUGACACCAGUGUUGUUUUUCUGAAAAUCAAUUAAAGAACUGUUUAUGCUAAGCUGUUUAGACUUUAUCAGCUAAUCUGUUUAGUUUUGAGCUUUUCUUUAAUGCACUUUUCAGUUAACAAGUCAACAUCAAUUUCUUUUGCUGUAAAAAAGCUUGAGGAAGGUGGCUUGAGAUUCGUCUUAAGUGUUUAUAGCCUCUUGCCUAUGCAGUCGGAGAGAUUGAGGUCUGCAGCGUAGAUCCUUCGGGGCUAAAUGCAUUUGUGCUAAGUUAUAGUAUUUUAUAGACAACUUGUUGACUAUGAUUUGUCUUGUAGCUUACUCGCUUAUGUUAUUUUACCUACGCUUAGGAUGUUGAGUCGUAGAGCACGCAG
Molecule: ribosomal RNA, 775 nt
Filed under: uncultured Neocallimastigales
Lineage: Eukaryota; Fungi; Neocallimastigomycota; Neocallimastigomycetes; Neocallimastigales
Description: partial large subunit ribosomal RNA
Rfam family: Eukaryotic large subunit ribosomal RNA
Source: RNAcentral